This 487-nucleotide ribosomal RNA is filed under the name uncultured bacterium. Its description in RNAcentral is "bacterial SSU rRNA". It matches the Rfam family "Bacterial small subunit ribosomal RNA", at positions 28 to 507 of the family's 1533-position model. The record is from RNAcentral.
GAUGAACGCUAGCGGCAGGCUUAGCACAUGCAAGUCGAGGGGUAACAUAGAAAAGCUUGCUUUUCUGAUGACGACCGGCGCACGGGUGCGUAACGCGUAUACAACCUACCUUUUAGCGGGGAAUAGCCCAGGGAAACUUGGAUUAAUGCCCCAUAGUAUAUAGACUUCUCCUGAAGUUUAUAUUAAACAUUUAUGGCUAUUAGAUGGGUAUGCGUCCUAUUAGUUAGUUGGUAAGGUAACGGCUUACCAAGGCAGCGAUAGGUAGGGGUCCUGAGAGGGAGAUCCCCACACUGGUACUGAGACACGGACCAGACUCCUACGGGAGGCAGCAGUGAGGAAUAUUGGACAAUAGGCGAGAGCCUGAUCCAGCCAUGCCGCGUGCAGGAAGACUGCCCUAUGGGUUGUAAACUGCUUUUACAGAGGAAGAACCACCCCCACGUGUGGGGGUUUGACGGUACUCUGCGAAUAAGGAUCGGCUAACUCCGUG